RNAcentral lists this ribosomal RNA (254 nucleotides) under uncultured bacterium. RNAcentral's name for it is "partial 16S ribosomal RNA". It matches the Rfam family "Bacterial small subunit ribosomal RNA", at positions 524 to 776 of the family's 1533-position model. The record is from RNAcentral.
UACGAAGGGUGCAAACGUUGCUCGGAAUUAUUGGGCGUAAAGCGCACGUAGGCGGUUUUUCAAGUCGGAUGUGAAAGCCUUUGGCUUAACCAAAGAAGUGCAUCCGAAACUGAAAUGACUUGAGUACUUAAGAGGAUCGCGGAAUUCCCGGUGUAGAGGUGAAAUUCGUAGAUAUCGGGAGGAACACCAGUGGCGAAGGCGGCGAUCUGGGAAGAUACUGACGCUGAGGUGCGAAAGCGUGGGGAGCAAACAGG